CUGGCAGAUAAAUUAGAACAAAGAUUGAUGCCUAACCCCCAAAUCGGCACCUCACUGAAUUUUUGUGUAGUUGAAAAUAUUGAUUUAUUUUAUUUAAACUCAUAGACCUUAUUUUUUUACACCUUUGUACCAUGCAAUUAAAAAGCUACCCCAAUGUCCAGCAGCAAAGGAUGAGGAAUUUCACCAUAGUGUUGAAACCAGGAGAAAAAGCAAAAUGGAAUCUAGGUGUCACCAGGUAUAGAAACACUGUAGAAUGUUAGGUUGAGCUAGCCUUGAGCUAACAACCAAUUGGAUAUUGCUACACAAAAGCAGUAAGAACAUAGUCUUUAUACCAGUGCCACACAUACAGUAGGCCAAUAGGAGACACUGAACUGAAACAGGCAUGGCUCUGUCUUUUCCUCUUUUAUGGACAAAAUUUAUUGAUAUCCAUCUUUUUCUUUUCAAAUUUUAUUGCCAUCCGAUGUUGCCCGUGACUCAUCUGCACAGAGGUGACCACAGAGAAGCUUGAGGAACAAGCCACAUGGAGGCAGCAGCUGGAGAAGGCUGUGAACAGGAACAGAUGGAGGGGAUCCAUGUGACCCGAGCAGGUGGGACAGGAACCAAAGGCUGCAAUUUGUUACUGCAGCCUAACCUGAGAAGGACGGCCCCAUUUUCUCCCAGAUUAGAUAGCAGUAA
RNAcentral lists this long non-coding RNA (675 nucleotides) under Lepisosteus oculatus (spotted gar). RNAcentral describes it as "lncRNA (ENSLOCG00000021082.1)". Lineage: Eukaryota; Metazoa; Chordata; Actinopteri; Semionotiformes; Lepisosteidae. The record is from RNAcentral.